UACGAAGGGGGCUAGCGUUGUUCGGAUUUACUGGGCGUAAAGCGCACGUAGGCGGAUUGGUCAGUUAGGGGUGAAAUCCUGGAGCUCAACUCCAGAACUGCCUUUAAUACUGCCAGUCUCGAGUCCGGAAGAGGUAAGUGGAACUCCUAGUGUAGAGGUGGAAUUCGUAGAUAUUAGGAAGAACACCAGUGGCGAAGGCGGCUUACUGGUCCGGUACUGACGCUGAGGUGCGAAGGCGUGGGGAGCAAACAGG
Molecule: ribosomal RNA, 253 nt
Filed under: uncultured bacterium
Lineage: Bacteria
Description: partial 16S ribosomal RNA
Rfam family: Bacterial small subunit ribosomal RNA
Source: RNAcentral